GCCAGCCUGCUCACCCGCCCCUUGUCUCCCCACAGGUACGUGUCGCCAGAGCGAGCCAAGGCCGCUGCUGCCUCCUCGCUGCCCAGCCAGGGCUUGGCCGCCGAGGCUGCGCCCGCGCAGACGCUCCUGGGGGACGCGGCGGCACCGGUGCUGGCGGGGGCGGCCGGCCAGCCCCGCCUGGCCCAGAACAGGCCCCCGCCGCCCGCCAAGAAAGCCAGCACCGACCUGCUGGCCGACAUCGGGGGGGACCCGUUCGCCGCCCCCCAGCCGGCGCCUGCCUUUGCCGCCUUCCCGGCCUUCCCCGGCCAGGCCCCGGCCCACGCUGCCUUCGCCAACUUCGACGCCUUCGGAGCCGGCCCAGGAGCGCCCGCCUUCGGGGGGGCCGCGGCCCCUUUCCACCCCCUCCCCGCGCCCACAGGUACCUCCGGGGCUCCAGGACUAACGGGGAGGGGUCCAGGGUGUCCCCCCCAAAGGGAUUAAUGGGGGGGCUCGGGGGGCUCCCCCCUGCCCUGCCCCCACCCCGGACACCUGGGCUCCCCCUUGUCUCCCGCAGGGGGCGCUGCUGUGCCAGGUGGCCCCGCCCCCGCCAGGAUGCCCGAGGUGGGCGGAGCCAGUGUC
RNAcentral lists this long non-coding RNA (618 nucleotides) under Apteryx rowi (Okarito brown kiwi). RNAcentral's name for it is "lncRNA (ENSARWG00000018173.1)". The record is from RNAcentral. Lineage: Eukaryota; Metazoa; Chordata; Aves; Apterygiformes; Apterygidae.